Molecule: ribosomal RNA, 397 nt
Filed under: uncultured bacterium
Lineage: Bacteria
Description: partial 16S ribosomal RNA
Rfam family: Bacterial small subunit ribosomal RNA
Source: RNAcentral
AUACGUAGGUGGCAAGCGUUGUCCGGAAUUAUUGGGCGUAAAGCGCGCGCAGGCGGUCCUUUAAGUCUGAUGUGAAAGCCCACGGCUCAACCGUGGAGGGUCAUUGGAAACUGGGGGACUUGAGGGCAGAAGAGGAAAGUGGAAUUCCAAGUGUAGCGGUGAAAUGCGUAGAGAUUUGGAGGAACACCAGGGGCGAAGGCGACUUUCUGGUCUGUAACUGACGCUGAGGCGCGAAAGCGUGGGGAGCAAACAGGAUUAGAUACCCUGGUAGUCCACGCCGUAAACGAUGAGUGCUAAGUGUUAGGGGGUUUCCGCCCCUUAGUGCUGCAGCUAACGCAUUAAGCACUCCGCCUGGGGAGUACGGUCGCAAGACUGAAACUCAAAUGAAUGGACGGGG